AUACGGAGGGUGCAAGCGUUAAUCGGAAUUACUGGGCGUAAAGCGUGCGUAGGCGGUUUGUUAAGUCAGAUGUGAAAGCCCCGGGCUCAACCUGGGAACUGCAUUUGAUACUGGCAGGCUAGAGUAUGGUAGAGGGGGGUAGAAUUUCUGGUGUAGCGGUGAAAUGCGUAGAUAUCGGAAGGAACACCAGUGGCGAAGGCGGCUUUCUGGACUGAUACUGACACUGAGGCACGAAAGCGAGGGGAGCAAACAGGAUUAGAUACCCCAGUAGUCC
This 274-nucleotide ribosomal RNA is filed under the name uncultured bacterium. RNAcentral describes it as "partial 16S ribosomal RNA". It matches the Rfam family "Bacterial small subunit ribosomal RNA", at positions 523 to 796 of the family's 1533-position model. The record is from RNAcentral.